GACGAACGCUGGCGGCGUGCUUAACACAUGCAAGUCGAACGGAAAGGCCCUGCUUUUGUGGGGUGCUCGAGUGGCGAACGGGUGAGUAACACGUGAGUAACCUGCCCUUGACUUUGGGAUAACUUCAGGAAACUGGGGCUAAUACCGGAUAGGAGCUCCUGCUGCAUGGUGGGGGUUGGAAAGUUUCGGCGGUUGGGAUGGACUCGCGGCUUAUCAGCUUGUUGGUGGGGUAGUGGCUUACCAAGGCUCUGACGGGUAGCCGGCCUGAGAGGGUGACCGGCCACAUUGGGACUGAGAUACGGCCCAGACUCCUACGGGAGGCAGCAGUGGGGAAUAUUGCACAAUGGGCGGAAGCCUGAUGCAGCAACGCCGCGUGCGGGAUGACGGCCUUCGGGUUGUAAACCGCUUUCGCCUGUGACGAAGCGUGAGUGACGGUAAUGGGUAAAGAAGCACCGGCUAACUACGUG
Molecule: ribosomal RNA, 467 nt
Filed under: uncultured bacterium
Lineage: Bacteria
Description: partial 16S ribosomal RNA
Rfam family: Bacterial small subunit ribosomal RNA
Source: RNAcentral